GCACGUUUCUGUCUGCUGGACUCCGUGCCCUGAGAGGACUGUCUGGAUGGCAUUUUCCACACACACCUGUGGCUGCACUUUGAAGUUUCUUUUGAAGGAAACUCACUUCCUUUUUGUGAGGGGGAUCUGGAGUUCAGAACCGACCAAGAUCUGGGAAUUGAGGUCCGAGUCAUGCUGAAUUAUUAUCAAAACAUCGUGAGGUCCCCUGCCGAGAAGCAGAAAGCAAGGCUAUUGUCAAGGACCAAGCGGGAGAGAGGCAAGAAAUUGUGGAUGUUGUAAAGCUACUGAAAAGUUUCUAGCAGACUCAUCACAGGGCCACAAGGAAGGCUAGGACCCACUGGAAAACACUCAGGGGCCUGCAGAGAGGGAGAGGACCUGGGGUCUCACUUACAAAGGCCUGUCUGGCCUAGAACUUAUGGUGAUUCUCCUACCUCAGCCUCCUAAAUUCUGGGAUUACAGCUGUGCACCACCAUGCCCAGCAGAAAUUCAAAUUUAAAAAUAAUCAUUUGUUAAUAAUAUCUUGAAGUUCUGUUCAAGGAAAAUUCAGCCCAGAGAAAUGAGAGAUAGAUCACGUCUCAAGCUACAUUGGAUGAAAUCCCAUGUGCUGACUGAUAUUUUACAUCAGCUCUUUGCAGUUUUUGCACCUUUGGUUUCCCCAUAUAAAAAAGAAGAGGGUAAAAAUUAGAACUAGGAUUCUCCAACUCUACAGAGACUGAGAACCACUGGGCAGCAAUGACAAGAAUAAAAGGCAAGAAGCGAUGGGAAUUCUAAACAUGGGGUCAAGCCCAGUAAAGCUAUGAAGGAGUAAAUAUGCACAACUGGUAGAGGGACGUAUGUGGACUUGAUGCAUUACCCUUUAUAUAUUGACCAUGUUCAUAAAUAAACAAAAAAUUAAGUGACACUCAAGAAAAUUCUUCAGUGUUACUUCUUUUUAUAAUUCAGCCAAAGUCCUAAAAUUCUCUCCUAACUAAAUAACAAGAAGACUUCAAAGUUUUGAAAAUCUCAUUGAUGGAUUAAUCAGCUUUCCAUCACUGGAACCAAAUACCUGACAUACACAGUUUGGAGGAGGACAAGUUUACUUGAUGCACCAUUUUAGUCUACGAUCAGUUGGUUACAAGGCAAAAACAUCAUGGCUGAGGAGUAUGGCAGAGGAAAGCCAUCAACUUCAUGGCACCUAGAGGAAAGAAUUUCAUUGAGUUGAAAGCAAAAGGUUGGCAGGGAUCUGUUACUUUUGAUGGUUCUAAGGUGGUAUUUAGUUCCUUGCCUUCUUCUGCUUUUAAAAACCAUGUGAAUUCCUUGGUUCAUGGCUCCUUACACCAUUUCCCAAGUCAUCAGUGCAUUGUGUAUGUGAUAUAUGUGUGUGGUUCAGAGAUAGACUAUGAAAAAUACCAUACAGAGAAUUACAGUGAAUCUGGGACAGUAGGUAUUCACUCUGUGGAACAAUAUCCAAGUUUCAUGGAAGAGCCUAGGGCUGGAGAAGAAAGAAUCACAUACCUUAAAUAAUGAGAGGCCAAAGAAGGGCAAUAACCAAUACUGACAAUGGCGUUUAGAAAAGAUUUGUGGAUUAGAAGAACUCCAAACUUACACUUAGAUGGUUAAUGUGUAGUUAAAUUAGUACUUAGCAUGUAUACAUUUGAGAAUUAGCAAAAAUAAAUUGAUAAAUAGUUAGAUAUAAACUUAUUAAAGGCAAAUUGCAGGUAUUAUUUGCUAUUGCCAUUUUUUAUGAUAUUGCUUUAAAAUAUUUGUUGACCAGACUUAUACUUCUAAGCUCUGUGCUCAACAGACUUGGUGUGGUGGUUGUUCGUGUUAUGUCAAUUUGACUUGAGUAAAAAAUUGCCUAGCACAGUGAUGGUGAACCUGUUAAAUCUUUCAAUGGUAGCAAACAACCAGUUAUGGUAUAGGUUCACCGCCACUGACUAGCAGAAUAUUACUAAAUUAUGAGUGUGCCUGUGGAUGGCUGACAUGUAGACUAUCAAACUGAAAAGAGAAGAGCCACACAUUUGGGUGACACCAACCAAGAGAUUUAUAGCAUAAGCAGAAUGAAACGGGAAAGAAGAAGAAAGGAUUUCACUUUUGUAGGAGCUUUGGUCUUCACCAUUGCUUUUGGAUGUUGAUCUACAGUUUCUCCAACCUUCUAGUACACACUCUUUAGCCUUCCAACCCAGACUCACACAGUCACUCCACAAUGAGUUUCCAAGCCUUCAACCUUUGAUUGCUGCUGGAUCCUCUAGCUCUCUAGCACACAAAUGGCCAUUUUGUACUCUUUCACCUCUGAUGGCACAGAUUACCAUUGGGAUUUUUCUUUUUCUGAUCAUGUAAGCCUACCUAAUGAACCCUUGUAUGACAAUACAUCUAUUAAGUAUGGAUGCUGUUCCUCUGAAGAACCCUAACUAAUAUACUUGGAUACCCUCUUUUGUGAACAAUGUAGUUUCUCGGAAAGUCCUUUAGGAAUCAACACGCAUUUUCCUCUUUAUCUCUCCCUCUGCUGCACUGCUCCAACCAGAGGCUGCUCUAGCCACCCAGGUCCUAGGGCAAGUGACACAGGCAGGGUUUCAGUUCCCUUGCAAAGGAUGAGUAAGAACUAUGUCAUUAUGGAUAUACCAAGUUACCAAGUUGUUGUUUACAAGUUCCUCAAUUCUAAAUGUUAAAACUAUUUAUACUUUGAUAAGUCAUU
Chinchilla lanigera (long-tailed chinchilla) is the source of this 2674-nucleotide long non-coding RNA. RefSeq lists it as uncharacterized. The transcript has 5 exons. The record is from RefSeq and is a predicted model, not a curated record. Lineage: Eukaryota; Metazoa; Chordata; Mammalia; Rodentia; Chinchillidae.